Molecule: ribosomal RNA, 1167 nt
Filed under: Triticum aestivum (bread wheat)
Lineage: Eukaryota; Viridiplantae; Streptophyta; Magnoliopsida; Poales; Poaceae
Description: partial small subunit ribosomal RNA
Source: RNAcentral
AUGGCCGUCUCUGCGAUUGGGUUCGAGGGAUAUGAGAAACGCCUGGAGAUCACUUUCUCUGAAGCGCCAGUCUUCACUGACCCCAAUGGCAGGGGAUUGCGUGCGCUCUCUCGUGCCCAGAUCGACUCGGUCCUUGAUCUUGCCAAGUGCACCAUUGUAUCUGAGCUCUCCAAUGAGAAGUUUGACUCGUAUGUCCUUUCUGAAUCAAGCCUCUUCGUGUACCCGUACAAGGUUGUGAUCAAGACCUGCGGUACCACCAAGCUCCUGCUGGCCAUUCCAAGGGUUCUUGAGCUUGCUGAGGAGCUGUCCCUGCCACUUGCUGCUGUGAAGUACUCCCGUGGGACAUUCAUAUUCCCUGAAGCACAGCCUUCUCCACACAAGAACUUCUCUGCCGAGGUUGCCUUCCUGAAUGGCUUCUUUGGUGGACUCAAGUCUGGCGGCAAUGCCUAUGUCAUUGGUGAUCCUGCAAAGCCAGGCCAGAAGUGGCAUGUCUACUAUGCCACCCAGCAGCCUGAGCAGCCUGUGGUCAACCUUGAGAUGUGCAUGACUGGUCUGGACAAGAAGAAAGCUUCUAUCUUCUUCAAGACCUCUGAUGAUGGCCACACAUCUUGUGCCAAGGAGAUGACCAAGCUCUCUGGCAUCUCUGAAAUAAUCCCGGAGAUGGAGAUCUGCGACUUUGAUUUCGAGCCAUGUGGCUACUCCAUGAACGCCAUCCAUGGCUCUGCUUUCUCCACCAUUCAUGUCACCCCUGAGGACGGCUUCAGCUAUGCUAGCUAUGAGGUCAUGGGGUUGGACCCUGCCUCCAUGGCCUAUGGUGACCUGGUCAAGAGGGUGCUGAGAUCCUUUGGCCCGUCUGAAUUUUCUGUUGCUGUGACCAUCUUCGGCGGUCACAGCCUUGCUGGCACCUGGGGGGAGAGGCUGAAUGUUGGGAUCUAUGAUAGUACCAACAUGGUCGUCCAGGAGCUGCCUGACGGGGGCGCUCUCAUCUACCAGAGCUUCACUGCUGUCGGCGAAGACUUCACCGGGUCACCAAGAUCUGUCCUGAAUUGCAACGUUGAUGGCAAUUUAGUUACUGGCUGCAAGAUGGAUGCUUUCCUUUGCUGGGAAGACGAUGCUGCGCAGGAGAAGGAUGAGAGGGGGGCUGGUAAGAAGAUGAAGAGCUCCUGA